UACGUAGGGUGCGAGCGUUAAUCGGAAUUACUGGGCGUAAAGCGUGCGCAGGCGGUUUUGUAAGACAGACGUGAAAUCCCCGGGCUUAACCUGGGAACUGCGUUUGUGACUGCAAGACUAGAGUACGGCAGAGGGGGGUAGAAUUCCACGUGUAGCAGUGAAAUGCGUAGAUAUGUGGAGGAAUACCGAUGGCGAAGGCGGCUCUCUGGACCAGUACUGACGCUGAGGCACGAAAGCGUGGGGAGCAAACAGG
Molecule: ribosomal RNA, 253 nt
Filed under: uncultured bacterium
Lineage: Bacteria
Description: partial 16S ribosomal RNA
Rfam family: Bacterial small subunit ribosomal RNA
Source: RNAcentral